This 265-nucleotide small nuclear RNA is filed under the name Myotis brandtii (Brandt's bat). RNAcentral describes it as "7SK RNA". It matches the Rfam family "7SK RNA". Rfam says of the family: 7SK was discovered as an abundant small nuclear RNA in the mid-70s but a possible function has only recently been suggested. Two independent studies have found that 7SK RNA binds the CDK9/cyclin T complex (known as elongation factor P-TEFb). The record is from Rfam by way of RNAcentral. Lineage: Eukaryota; Metazoa; Chordata; Mammalia; Chiroptera; Vespertilionidae.
GGAUGUGAGGGCGAUCUGGCUGCGACAUCUGUCACCCCAUUGAUCGCCAGGGUUGAUUCGGCUGAUCUGGCUGGCUAGGCGGGUGUCCCCCUCCUCCCUCACCGAUCCAUGUGCGUCCCUCCAAUCAUAUGGUAUCUAUCUAUCUAUCUAUCUAUCUAUCUAUCUAUCCUUAUAUUGUGAUAUAUAUUUUUAAAAAGAUGUACCAUAAUACCUAGAGCUAUUUUCAAUUUUUAUGUUUUUAUUUUCUAAAAGUAUUUAUUCCAUU